Molecule: long non-coding RNA, 1444 nt
Filed under: Nicotiana tabacum (common tobacco)
Lineage: Eukaryota; Viridiplantae; Streptophyta; Magnoliopsida; Solanales; Solanaceae
Description: long non-coding RNA (NTAB_LNC013290)
Source: RNAcentral
AUUUUAAUAUAAAAUACUAAUAUUAUCUUUAUAAUUAGAAUAUGAUCAAAAUGCAAUACUGAAUGACGUAACAGAAAUACAUCCAAGAUUAACAGACUAAAUUCCCAAAAUCUGGUGUCACAAGUGUAUGGGCAUCUACUAGAAUGUACAAUACUACUAUAAAAACUGCCUUGAAUAGAAAAUAGACAAAGUACAACAUAUGAUUAGGAAGGGGACUCCAUGUGCUGCGGAUCAUAGCAUAUACAACAGCUCACCAUAAAGUUUCAUCAGCAAUUGCGCCUACGCACCGGUAUGACCACCAAACUUACAUGUCUCAGUACCUAUACAAUUAGUGUUGAAGUGUAGUGUGAGUACGUAAAUCAACUUGUAGGUAAUAAGUAUCUAGCCUAACCUCAAAGAAGUAGCGAUGAGGGGUCGAUAUCGGCACUUACUAGUGGUCCAAUAAUCAAAUACAAUAAACACAGACAGGUAUGAAGAAUAGCCAGUAAAAGCAACGAAAAUAGGUAUAUGUGCAUAACACGAUCCUCAAUAGAAAAGUGGAUACAAAAUCCUCAAAUAUCGAAUACUACCUCGAAUGGGGCAAGUAUAUGAUCAAUAACAAAUAAAAUACCAAAUCGUAAGUCAGGAAGACUCAUAGGUACGUUGAACCUCGAUCGAAUAUAACACACGAUUCUGUCGAGGUCGUUUGGCUCGAUCCAUAAAAUAGUGUACACUGUCGAGGUCAUACGACCCAAUCCAUGGAUGCAUCUCAUAAUACUGACGAGGUCGUAUGACCCGAUCCAUAAUAGUAUUGAUGAGGCAUUCAGCCCGAUCCCAUAGAAUAGUGAGACUUUGACAUGUCACUUGCCCAACUCACGAAUAUGUGUGAGUUAUGAAAUUCCAGAAACUUUCAGAUAUAUAUUCACAAUGCGGGUGAAAUCUGUAAGAAAAGGUAAAAUAUCUGUGGCUAAUCAAGUAGCAAGUCAAGUAUCUGAAAUAGCAAAGUUCAAUACCUUACGCAAAUCUAGUCUCGGGUUAAAGCAUAAAUUAAAGUAUUUAAAUAGACAAGAAUAACUCAAGUAGUACAAUUAAAACAUGGUGUGAGUCUACGUCUACCCGGACAUAAUCAAGAAUCUAGCAUACACACGGACACUCAUCACCUCAUAAGUGCAUAGCUCCCAUAACAUGUUGCACAUAACAAAUACAACACCUGCAGGGUAAAUACCCUCUUACAAGGUUAGACAAGAGACUUACCUCGCUCUAAAGUCCGAUAACUGGCUCCAACGCCUCUCUAACACCUCUACCCGAUGCCAAACUAUCCGAAACUAGCCAAAAACGUGCAAACCAAUCAAAAUAUACUCAAAGACUCAUAAUUAAACAAUUAGAAAUAAAUUCCCAACUCCACACGAGAAGUCAACAAAGUCAACGCCGAGCUCAAGCGCCCGGAUUCCAAAAGUUAUCAAAA